RNAcentral lists this long non-coding RNA (190 nucleotides) under Anas platyrhynchos platyrhynchos (common mallard). RNAcentral describes it as "lncRNA (ENSAPLG00000029293.1)". Lineage: Eukaryota; Metazoa; Chordata; Aves; Anseriformes; Anatidae. The record is from RNAcentral.
CAGGCAUAAGGCAUGCUGAAGUGGUCUCAAAACAGGUCAGAACCAAUAACGGAGAGAUGAGAAACUCUUGCCUCCAACUAUCUCCAGAACCACCUGUAGUCCCCUGUACUGAGAGCUAUUUAAUGCAGAUUGAGGAGUGAAGCUAAAGUUGUUCAUGGAGGCCAACCAUCCUGCCAGAGAGCUAGAAGAU